AAGUCGUAACAAGGUUUCCGUAGGUGAACCUGCGGAAGGAUCAUUAACACGUUUCGUUCCGAACGUUUUGACCCAUCCUAUUUUCUGUGCACCCCUCGCGUCCGGCCUCCCAGCCGCCUACCGGGUUUACUCGGUGUGGCCUGUUGGGCGUCUUUGGGAUCCAAGGCAGUUUUGGGAUCUUCCUUCGGGAUUUUCCGAUCUCUGCCUCCUGAAGGCGUUGCCACCUCACCCAAACCCUUAAAUCUAACUGAUCUGAACUUUUAGUUGACGCGAUGCAGUUUCCUCUCGGGGGGACGAAUUCGUUGCAACGACUUACAAACAAAAAACAACUCUUAACAACGGAUAUCUUGGUUCUC
RNAcentral lists this unclassified non-coding RNA (356 nucleotides) under fungal sp. RNAcentral's name for it is "partial internal transcribed spacer region". The stretch from base 1 to 46 matches the Rfam family "Eukaryotic small subunit ribosomal RNA", at positions 1786 to 1831 of the family's 1831-position model. The record is from RNAcentral. Lineage: Eukaryota; Fungi.